UACGUAGGUGGCAAGCGUUGUCCGGAUUUAUUGGGCGUAAAGCGCGAGCAGGUGGUUCGUUGCGUCCGAGGUGAAAUCUCCCGGCUCAACUGGGAGGGGUCUUCGGAUACGGGCGGACUUGAGGAGAGCAGAGGUAGGCGGAAUGCUGGGUGUAGUGGUGAAAUGCGUAGAGAUCAGCAGGAAUACCCGUGGCGAAGGCGGCCCCCUGGGCCGAACCUGACGCUGAGGCGCGAAGGCUAGGGGAGCGAACGGG
This 253-nucleotide ribosomal RNA is filed under the name uncultured bacterium. Its description in RNAcentral is "partial 16S ribosomal RNA". It matches the Rfam family "Bacterial small subunit ribosomal RNA", at positions 524 to 776 of the family's 1533-position model. The record is from RNAcentral.